This is a small nuclear RNA of Rattus rattus (black rat), 156 nucleotides long. RefSeq annotates it as U1 spliceosomal RNA. The record is from RefSeq and is a predicted model, not a curated record. Lineage: Eukaryota; Metazoa; Chordata; Mammalia; Rodentia; Muridae. The transcript has a single exon.
AGACUUUCCUGGAAGAGGAGACACCACCACUCUGAACGUGGUUCUCCCACCCCCCGAGUGUGAUAUCUCUGAGGGUGCUCACUCCUGGGAUUUCCCCAGAUUUGGAAACUUGACCUCAUAAUUUGUGGUGGUGGGACUACACUCAUGAUUUCCCUU